GACAGUGAUGGUUCCACAAGUUUUAGUAUCCCUCUGAUCCUCACCAAGUGGCCAUCAUUCUUCUCACUGCUGACGGCAUCCUGGCUGAAGUCCACUUACUUGACAUGGAUGUGGAAUCAAAUUUGGAAUCUUGUAAUUGGAUCUGGAAUGUGACUGACCAGGACCUCCUACAUUGGACUUCUCCAGACCUUUGCCAAGUGUUUGGAUUUAGAAGUUUUACCAAAAACAUUUUGUGGCAAGCAGUGAGCUGUAGGAUUUAAAACACA
Long non-coding RNA from Rhincodon typus (whale shark), 266 nucleotides. RefSeq lists it as uncharacterized. NCBI's taxonomy places the organism in Eukaryota, Metazoa, Chordata, Chondrichthyes, Orectolobiformes, Rhincodontidae. The transcript has 3 exons. The record is from RefSeq and is a predicted model, not a curated record.